This 363-nucleotide unclassified non-coding RNA is filed under the name Hevea brasiliensis (rubber tree). The record is from RNAcentral. Lineage: Eukaryota; Viridiplantae; Streptophyta; Magnoliopsida; Malpighiales; Euphorbiaceae.
AUUCUUAUUGUUAUCGUCGCCCAUUCUACAUGUGGGGAAAACGACGGUACUUCGCCCGUUAUGGUUAUGAUUAUGGUUUCUUUUAUUAGGAUUGGUGCUAUGAUCGGCACUGGUAUUGCUCAGCAACAUACAGCUUCCAGUAUUUUAACUUCUCAGACAGAUUUGCCUGAUUCUCAGAUUGCUAUUCGACAACAAAGACGGAGGAAAUAUAGAAGACUGUUAUUGUGGACUCGAAUUGCCUCAGUAAUUACAAUCAUGCAACUUCUUGGAGCUGUUUUUCUUUUGUUCACUGUCACCAAUCUCUUGCACCAUGAUACAGCAUCAAACAAUUGUCUGAGAGGGAUUCUCUCAAAUGGUUCGAAG